UCCAGACUCCUACGGGAGGCAGCAGUGGGGGAUAUUGCACAAUGGGGGGAACCCUGAUGCAGCGACGCCGCGUGGGUGAAGGAGUGCUUCGGCAUGUAAAGCCCUAUCGGCAGGGAAGAAGCAAGACGGUACCUGAAGAAGAAGCCCCGGCUAACUACGUGCCAGCAGCCGCGGUAAUACGGAGGGGGCAAGCGUUAUCCGGAUUUACUGGGUGUAAAGGGGGCGCAGACGGCGAUGCAAGCCAGGAGUGAAAGCCCGGGGCCCAACCCCGGGACUGCUCUUGGAACUGCGUGGCUGGAGUGCAGGAGGGGCAGGCGGAAUUCCUGGUGUAGCGGUGAAAUGCGUAGAUAUUAGGAAGAACACCAGUGGCGAAGGCGGCUUUCUGGACUGAAACUGACGCUGAGGCACGAAAGCGUGGGGAGCGAACAGGAUUAGAUACCCCCGUA
This 446-nucleotide ribosomal RNA is filed under the name uncultured bacterium. RNAcentral's name for it is "bacterial SSU rRNA". It matches the Rfam family "Bacterial small subunit ribosomal RNA", at positions 330 to 792 of the family's 1533-position model. The record is from RNAcentral.